RNAcentral lists this non-coding RNA (28 nucleotides) under Bombyx mori (domestic silkworm). The record is from RNAcentral. Lineage: Eukaryota; Metazoa; Arthropoda; Insecta; Lepidoptera; Bombycidae.
UACAGAAACUGUUCGAAGUGACCUCAUC